Molecule: ribosomal RNA, 442 nt
Filed under: uncultured bacterium
Lineage: Bacteria
Description: partial 16S ribosomal RNA
Rfam family: Bacterial small subunit ribosomal RNA
Source: RNAcentral
CCUACGGGAGGCAGCAGUGGGGGAUAUUGCACAAUGGGGGAAACCCUGAUGCAGCGACGCCGCGUGGGCGAAGAAGUAUUUCGGUAUGUAAAGCCCUAUCAGCAGGGAAGAAGAAAUGACGGUACCUGAGUAAGAAGCACCGGCUAAAUACGUGCCAGCAGCCGCGGUAAUACGUAUGGUGCACGCGUUAUCCGGAUGUACUGGGUGUAAAGGGAGCGUAGACGGCAGUGCAAGUCUGGAGUGAAAGGCGGGGGCUCAACCCCCGGACUGCUCUGGAAACUGUACGGCUGGAGUGCAGGAGAGGUAAGUGGAAUUCCUAGUGUAGCGGUGAAAUGCGUAGAUAUUAGGAGGAACACCAGUGGCGAAGGCGGCUUACUGGACUGUAACUGACGUUGAGGCUCGAAAGCGUGGGGAGCAAACAGGAUUAGAUACCCCGGUAGUC